RNAcentral lists this ribosomal RNA (497 nucleotides) under uncultured bacterium. RNAcentral's name for it is "partial 16S ribosomal RNA". It matches the Rfam family "Bacterial small subunit ribosomal RNA", at positions 28 to 507 of the family's 1533-position model. The record is from RNAcentral.
GAUGAACGCUGGCGGCGUGCCUAAUACAUGCAAGUCGAGCGAACAGAUGAGGAGCUUGCUCCUCUGACGUUAGCGGCGGACGGGUGAGUAACACGUGGAUAACCUACCUAUAAGACUGGGAUAACUUCGGGAAACCGGAGCUAAUACCGGAUAAUAUAUUGAACCGCAUGGUUCAAUAGUGAAAGACGGUUUUGCUGUUACUUAUAGAUGGAUCCGCGCCGCAUUAGCUAGUUGGUAAGGUAACGGCUUACCAAGGCAACGAUGCGUAGCCGACCUGAGAGGGUGAUCGGCCACACUGGAACUGAGACACGGUCCAGACUCCUACGGGAGGCAGCAGUAGGGAAUCUUCCGCAAUGGGCGAAAGCUUGACGGAGCAACGCCGCGUGAGUGAUGAAGGUCUUCGGAUCGUAAAACUCUGUUAUUAGGGAAGAACAAAUGUGUAAGUAACUAUGCACGUCUUGACGGUACCUAAUCAGAAAGCCACGGCUAACUACGUG